RNAcentral lists this ribosomal RNA (549 nucleotides) under Salmonella enterica subsp. enterica serovar Typhimurium. RNAcentral's name for it is "partial 23S ribosomal RNA". It matches the Rfam family "Bacterial large subunit ribosomal RNA", at positions 1 to 580 of the family's 2925-position model. Lineage: Bacteria; Pseudomonadati; Pseudomonadota; Gammaproteobacteria; Enterobacterales; Enterobacteriaceae. The record is from RNAcentral.
GGGUUGUGAGGUUAAGCGACUAAGCGUACACGGUGGAUGCCCUGGCAGUCAGAGGCGAUGAAGGGCGUGCUAAUCUGCGAUAAGCGCCGGUAAGGUGAUAUGAACCGUUAUAACCGGCGAUUUCCGAAUGGGGAAACCCAGUGUGAUUCGUCACACUAUCAUUAACUGAAUCCAUAGGUUAAUGAGGCGAACCGGGGGAACUGAAACAUCUAAGUACCCCGAGGAAAAGAAAUCAACCGAGAUUCCCCUAGUAGCGGCGAGCGAACGGGGAGGAGCCCAGAGCCUGAAUCAGCAUGUGUGUUAGUGGAAGCGUCUGGAAAGGUGCGCGAUACAGGGUGACAGCCCCGUACACAAAAGCGCAUGUGCUGUGAGCUCGAUGAGUAGGGCGGGACACGUGGUAUCCUGUCUGAAUAUGGGGGGACCAUCCUCCAAGGCUAAAUACUCCUGACUGACCGAUAGUGAACCAGUACCGUGAGGGAAAGGCGAAAAGAACCCCGGCGAGGGGAGUGAAAAAGAACCUGAAACCGUGUACGUACAAGCAGUGGGAGC